UACGAAGGGUGCAAACGUUGCUCGGAAUCAUUGGGCGUAAAGCGCACGUAGGCGGCCUCAUAAGUCGGACGUGAAAUCCCUCGGCUCAACCGGGGAAGUGCAUCCGAAACUGCGAGGCUCGAGUAUGGAAGAGGGUCGCAGAAUUCCCGGUGUAGAGGUGAAAUUCGUAGAUAUCGGGAGGAAUACCAGUGGCGAAGGCGGCGACCUGGGCCAAUACUGACGCUGAGGUGCGAAAGCGUGGGGAGCAAACAGG
Molecule: ribosomal RNA, 253 nt
Filed under: uncultured bacterium
Lineage: Bacteria
Description: partial 16S ribosomal RNA
Rfam family: Bacterial small subunit ribosomal RNA
Source: RNAcentral